RNAcentral lists this ribosomal RNA (253 nucleotides) under uncultured bacterium. RNAcentral describes it as "partial 16S ribosomal RNA". It matches the Rfam family "Bacterial small subunit ribosomal RNA", at positions 524 to 776 of the family's 1533-position model. The record is from RNAcentral.
UACGUAGGGGGCAAGCGUUGUCCGGAUUUAUUGGGCGUAAAGAGCGUGUAGGCGGCCAGGUAGGUCAGCUGUGAAAACUCGAGGCUUAACCUCGAGACGCCGGCUGAAACCCUCUGGCUAGAGUCCGGAAGAGGAGAGCGGAAUUCCUGGUGUAGCGGUGAAAUGCGCAGAUAUCAGGAAGAACACCCGUGGCGAAGGCGGCUCUCUGGGACGGUACUGACGCUGAGGCGCGAAAGCGUGGGGAGCAAACAGG